ACAAAUUUGUGAUCGUAACUCUGCAAUACAGAAGCGAUCUAGACAUAAUUGUAUGUUGAUAAACAUCUGAUGCGAACUCGGUUAGCAAGGUUGUUAUCGAACCCACAGGAAUUGACACUAGAUCCCAAGAACGCCCAAAUACGAUCAAGGUUUAGGAUUUAACUUCUAAACGAUGAACCAAGCAAUCGAAAGUAUAUUAAAACAAUAAUCUCUUGAUCACAAAGUCUCGAAAUCUCACCCGAAUUGUGGACUUGAACCAAAAAAUCCAACAAGAACGAUGCUUGAAAGACCACUUGAUUACAUAACCCAAAGAUCCAACUCGAUUUUUUGAACGCCACAAGAAAUCACUUUCUUGAUAACUUCGAUUUGCCCAUUUAAGAACAAGAUAAUUGAAGCGAAAAGUUUUGAGAGAAUUUUUAUU
RNAcentral lists this long non-coding RNA (421 nucleotides) under Olea europaea (common olive). Its description in RNAcentral is "long non-coding RNA (OEUR_LNC006296)". Lineage: Eukaryota; Viridiplantae; Streptophyta; Magnoliopsida; Lamiales; Oleaceae. The record is from RNAcentral.